Molecule: long non-coding RNA, 1517 nt
Organism: Eriocheir sinensis (Chinese mitten crab)
Lineage: Eukaryota; Metazoa; Arthropoda; Malacostraca; Decapoda; Varunidae
Exons: 9
Source: RefSeq, a predicted model, not a curated record
CUCUGUUAAGGUUGGGUGUUACUGACAUUGCUCUGACUCUAGUGAGUGGACUUUCCUCAUCAGACUUGUGAUGCAGACCACCUCAGAUCUCAACAACAUGGAGAAGGACACCUUUGAGGCGUCCAACUGUACUACUGAGGAGUAUGAGUUGGCCUGCAGACAGAGGUUUGCUGAGGACAACAUCAUGUAUGAGUGACUCAUCAUCUACUUGAGGACCAGAAGGCAUGCCUCUGGACUUAAGGGUGUUGAGCAGCGGAAAGUAUUGCGAUGGGCACGCCCCUUCCAGUGGGAUGAACAGGAGUGGACCAUGAUGGGAAGCCUCGGCAGCUCGUGGUGAGGUCUUUUGAGGAGGUUGCUGCUGUGAUCACAGCAGUCCCACUGCAGGGCAUAGCGGCUGGGUUACCACUUGUCAGAAUGUCUCCUCAGUUUACUAUUGGCGAAACAUGACCCAGGACAUGAAACAUUAUAUUGAAACAUGUAGUAAGUGCCAGCACUACACGCCAAUGAAGACAAAGGCCCCAGAGAUGCGUCCCAUAAAGGUGAAGGAGCCGUUGGAACUUAUAGGAGUCGACUUGGUCGGUGGGGCAAGCCUGCAAGGAUCCUGACUGAUCACGGACGUGAGUUUUGUUCCUCGAUCAACGACGAACUCUGCAAGUUCUACGGGAUCCGGAGGAGUAUCACGUCUGCCUACCAUCCGCAGACUAAUGGACUGGCAGAGAGAAUGAACCAGACUCUGGAGACCAGGCUUUCCAAGCUCUGCAACGCGACCAAGACCGACUGGCCAAACUUCCUGGAUGAAGUCGCCUAUAGCAUCCGCACCCAAAAGCAGCGGACCACCGGGUUCACACCUUUCCGGUUGAUGUUUGCUCAUGAGCACCGGCCACUUCACCAGGUAACCACCAGUGUUUGAAUUAAUAUAAGAAAUCAACUCCUAUUGGUUCCAUUAAAAUAUGAAGCUUUCAAUCACAAACCAAAAAAAUAUGAAGAGUUGUUCUUGUGCCUAAUGACCGUAAUUUCAGUUCAAUUGAAAAAAAUAUUUUUAGGAAGAAAUUACAUUUGCUCCUGAGGCUUCUGCACAACCAGAGGGAAGGAGUACCACACCAGAAUUUCUUUUUGUUACAGUUCUUUGAAGAACUUGUUGAACUGCCCUCUUCCGAGGACAUUGCGGAGUGUGUCAAAGAGCAGGACCAGAGGCGUGAAGAACUGCACUCCAAGCGGGAACAGAGAGUUGAAGCAGCCCAAGAAAAGCAGAAGGCUGAGUACAGGAACAGGAAAGCAAGAGGAGUGAAGACCUUCAGCUUCUCUGUAGGGAUGAAGGUUCUUAAAAGAAACCUUCGCAAUGAGACUCGGAAGGGUGGGAUAAUGGAGCAGAAGUGGACUGGUCCAUACAAAGUCCUUGACAUCGACUCCUCAAACCGUGUGGCACUUGAGGCUGUGAGCAAUGGGAAGAAGCUCAAGAGCCGUACUCCAUACAACAACCUGAGGCCAUUCCUCCAGAGCCAGUUGCACUGUGACAG